Cornus florida is the source of this 1811-nucleotide long non-coding RNA. RefSeq lists it as uncharacterized. The transcript has 2 exons. The record is from RefSeq and is a predicted model, not a curated record. Lineage: Eukaryota; Viridiplantae; Streptophyta; Magnoliopsida; Cornales; Cornaceae.
UUUAUUCAAAAACAUAAAAAAUUAAAAAUAAAAAAAUAAAAAAAUAGUACUAGUUAGUAUAGAUUUGUAAGUGAUUGUAUUUUAAUUUUAUUUAUUAUUAAUUUUAUUUUUAUUUUUAUUUUAUUUAUCUAUUUUUCAUUUUAGUGAAUAUAUUCUUUUUAGUUAUUUAUUUUAUUUAUUUUUAUUUUUAGUGUAUAUAUUAAAAAAAAAAAUUAAAAAAAAAAUUGCCUGAUUAAUACAAGGGAAUUGAUUAAUCCCAUGCCUGGUAGAGAGCAACAAAAAAUUGCCCCAUGUGGAUCGAUCCCACAACCAUGGGGAUCGAUCAACUUUCACUUUCUCACAUUACACAACAAAGGGAAAAAAUUUUGCCUAAAAUUGUCGAUCCCCCAUCAAAGAGGAUCGAGCGCCCUUUUCAGCCCUCACUUCUCUCCGUCGCCUAUUUGCUUCAUCAUCAUCGCCUAGCUGCACUUAACCCAAGCUGCCUCACUCUUCCCUUAUCACCCUUCAUCUCCUAUCUCUCAACACCGAGCACCACACUACCAUCUCCCAGUUUCGGCCGCAUCGAACCCAUCCCAACCUCAGGCCGCAGUCUCUGAAAUUUCAAGCGCACCUUCCAGUCACCGGCCGUGCUUUUCUGAUCGCGGCUAUUCCUUUUCAAGCGCCGUUUCCUGGGUUAUAUUCCGGCAUCGCAUCUGGGUCGCUACUUUUCUCCAGCGAUCAAGGCUAGAUCUUUGCGGCGUCGCGGCUGGAUUCUCUCCGUAGAUCGCGGCUGGUUUGCGGAUCUUCUCCGGCGAUUUUGUGGGUCGCCGUUUGCCGUUUUCUUGGUCGCUGUUUCCAGCGAUUUGGACUUGGUGUCGCCAAUGAUUUCGGCUAGGCUUAUCGCCGGCUAGUUUGUGGGUCAAAAUGAAAAUAAAUAAAUAGAAAAAAAAAAAACCGCAAUAGAACGAUUUCGGCUGGGCUGAAAUUCCGGCGCUGUUUGAGACUCGCCCUUUAUUUUUCCGGCGUUGCAACUGGCUGUUCCCUCCAGCGAUUUUGGCUAGAUUUUGAUUUGGUUUCUUCAUCGAUUCCGGCGGCUUUUGACUGGGUUUUCUCCAGCAAGUAUGUGGGGCAAUAAAGUUAAAAUGAGCUAAGAACGGUCCAUUAAAGCCUUUUUGGAGUCAAGCAAAGAUAUUCAGAAAAAGUUCAGAAAAUGGCAAAAAGGAGGUCACAGCCCAUUGCUCAUAUAGUGUGUUUAUUCUUCAAAAGCGGUCAAUCUCAGGCCUUUGAUGAUGUUCCCAAAGAUGAAGAAGCAAACUAAUGAGUUCGGGGCCAAAAUGGAGCUAAAUAGGGAUUAAAGGAAAUUUCCAACUCUGGGGGGAUCGAUCCCCCAGGGUGGGGGAUCGAUCCCCCAGGACUUGGCAACAUUACAGAUUUUUCUUAUUGUUUGGGCUUAUUUUGUGAAUUAUUGGGCUUAAAUAGGGUUAUUACUUAAGGCCCAGUGAGUCAUUAGUUUAGGGUUAGUUUUUAUUUUAUUUAGGAGAGAGUUUUAUUAUUUUAUGAUUAAGUUUUUAUUAUUUUUUUCUGUACCGUGAUAUUACGUUCUCUUUGGGAAAAAGGAGAAAGCUAGGGUUGGAAGAACAUUUUUUAUGAAGGCUCUAUCUACAAUUGAAGGGAGAAGAAGAAGGAGCCAAAAGAUGGAGAUGGAGCUUGUUGACACCAUGAUCAUCUUCUUCAUGAGCUAGUUCUUCACUUAGGGCUUGGAUGAGCCUUAAGUUCAUGUAACCCUAACCUUUGUAUUUCUUUUCUUGGGGAAUUAUUAUGUUGUAAUUAAA